CCUACGGGCGGCAGCAGUGGGGAAUAUUGGGCAAUGGGCGAAAGCCUGACCCAGCAACGCCGCGUGAAGGAAGAAGGCUUUCGGGUUGUAAACUUCUUUUGACAGGGAAGAGCAGAAGACGGUACCUGUCGAAUAAGCCACGGCUAACUACGUGCCAGCAGCCGCGGGAAUACGUAGGUCGCAAGCGUUGUCCGGAUUUACUGGGUGUAAAGGGCGUGUAGGCGGGAGAGCAAGUCAGACGUGAAAUUCCAGGGCUCAACCCUGGAACUGCGUUUGAAACUGUUCUUCUUGAGUGAUGGAGAGGCAGGCGGAAUGCCGUGUGUAGCGGUGAAAUGCGUAGAUAUACGGAGGAACACCAGUGGCGAAGGCGGCCUGCUGGACAUUAACUGACGCUGAGGCGCGAAAGCGUGGGGAGCAAACAGGAUUAGAUACCCCUGUAGUC
Molecule: ribosomal RNA, 442 nt
Filed under: uncultured bacterium
Lineage: Bacteria
Description: partial 16S ribosomal RNA
Rfam family: Bacterial small subunit ribosomal RNA
Source: RNAcentral